GCCCAGAUAGCUCAGUUGGUAGAGCAGAGGACUGAAAAUCCUCGUGU
RNAcentral lists this transfer RNA (47 nucleotides) under Firmicutes bacterium CAG:95. It matches the Rfam family "tRNA", at positions 1 to 46 of the family's 71-position model. Rfam says of the family: Transfer RNA (tRNA) molecules are approximately 80 nucleotides in length. Their secondary structure includes four short double-helical elements and three loops (D, anti-codon, and T loops). Further hydrogen bonds mediate the characteristic L-shaped molecular structure. tRNAs have two regions of fundamental functional importance: the anti-codon, which is responsible for specific mRNA codon recognition, and the 3' end, to which the tRNAs corresponding amino acid is attached (by aminoacyl-tRNA synthetases). tRNAs cope with the degeneracy of the genetic code in two manners: having more than one tRNA (with a specific anti-codon) for a particular amino acid; and 'wobble' base-pairing, i.e. permitting non-standard base-pairing at the 3rd anti-codon position. Lineage: Bacteria; Bacillati; Bacillota. The record is from Rfam by way of RNAcentral.